Molecule: ribosomal RNA, 637 nt
Filed under: uncultured bacterium
Lineage: Bacteria
Description: bacterial SSU rRNA
Rfam family: Bacterial small subunit ribosomal RNA
Source: RNAcentral
ACGCGUGAAGUUUCCCGCCUGGGGAUUACGCAUGCAAAUGUGAAACUCAAAGGAAUUGACGGGGACCCGCACAAGCGGUGGAGUAUGUGGUUUAAUUCGAUGCAACGCGAAAAACCUUACCAAGGUUUGAAAUCAUUUCAAAACUCUUUGAAAGAAGAGCCUCCUUCGGGAUGAAAUGACAGGUGGUGCAUGGCUGUCGUCAGCUCGUGUUGUGAAAUGUCAAGUUAAGUCUUGUAACGAGCGCAACCCAUGUCUUUUGUUGCUGUUUUCAGUGCUUAAAAGAGACUGCCGCUCUACAGCGGAGGAAGGUGUGGAUGAUGUCAAGUCAGCAUGCCCCUUAUAUCUUGGGCUACACACGUACUACAAUGGUAGGGACAAUGAGUCGCAAACCUGCGAAGGCUAGCCAAUCUCAAAAACCCUAUCUCAGUUCGGAUUGUACUCUGCAACUCGAGUGCAUGAAGGUGGAAUCGCUAGUAAUCGCUGGUCAGCAUACAGCGGUGAAUACGUUCCCGGGUCUUGUACACACUGCCCGUCACACCAUGGAAGUCGACUCUUCCCUAAGUCGUUACUCGAACCGUAAGGACGAGGAUGCCGAAGGCAGGGUUGGUGACUGGGGUGAAGUCGUAACAAGGUAACC